RNAcentral lists this ribosomal RNA (1593 nucleotides) under Erwinia amylovora. Its description in RNAcentral is "bacterial LSU rRNA". It matches the Rfam family "Bacterial large subunit ribosomal RNA", at positions 1252 to 2826 of the family's 2925-position model. The record is from RNAcentral. Lineage: Bacteria; Pseudomonadati; Pseudomonadota; Gammaproteobacteria; Enterobacterales; Erwiniaceae.
GAAGGUGUGCUGUGAGGCAUGCUGGAGGUAUCAGAAGUGCGAAUGCUGACAUAAGUAACGAUAAAGCGGGUGAAAAGCCCGCUCGCCGGAAGACCAAGGGUUCCUGUCCAACGUUAAUCGGGGCAGGGUGAGUCGACCCCUAAGGCGAGGCCGAAAGGCGUAGUCGAUGGGAAACGGGUUAAUAUUCCCGUACUGGGUGUUACUGCGAAGGGGGGACGGAGAAGGCUAUGUUAGCCGGGCGACGGUUGUCCCGGUUUAAGCGUGCAGGCUUGAGUUCCAGGCAAAUCCGGAACUCUUUAAGGCUGAGGCGUGAUGACGAGGCACCACGGUGCUGAAGUAACAAAUGCCCUGCUUCCAGGAAAAGCCUCUAAGCAUCAGGUAACAUCCAAUCGUACCCCAAACCGACACAGGUGGUCAGGUAGAGAAUACCAAGGCGCUUGAGAGAACUCGGGUGAAGGAACUAGGCAAAAUGGUGCCGUAACUUCGGGAGAAGGCACGCUGGCGCGUAGGUGAAGCGACUUGCUCGUGGAGCUGAAGCCAGUCGAAGAUACCAGCUGGCUGCAACUGUUUAUUAAAAACACAGCACUGUGCAAACACGAAAGUGGACGUAUACGGUGUGACGCCUGCCCGGUGCCGGAAGGUUAAUUGAUGGGGUUAUCCGUAAGGAGAAGCUCUUGAUCGAAGCCCCGGUAAACGGCGGCCGUAACUAUAACGGUCCUAAGGUAGCGAAAUUCCUUGUCGGGUAAGUUCCGACCUGCACGAAUGGCGUAAUGAUGGCCAGGCUGUCUCCACCCGAGACUCAGUGAAAUUGAACUCGCUGUGAAGAUGCAGUGUACCCGCGGCAAGACGGAAAGACCCCGUGAACCUUUACUACAGCUUGACACUGAACAUUGAGCCUUGAUGUGUAGGAUAGGUGGGAGGCUUUGAAGCGUGGACGCCAGUCUGCGUGGAGCCAACCUUGAAAUACCACCCUUUAACGUUUGAUGUUCUAACCUGGCGCCGUUACCCGGCGUGGGGACAGUGUCUGGUGGGUAGUUUGACUGGGGCGGUCUCCUCCCAAAGAGUAACGGAGGAGCACGAAGGUCAGCUAAUCACGGUCGGACAUCGUGAGGUUAGUGCAAUGGCAUAAGCUGGCUUGACUGCGAGAGUGACGGCUCGAGCAGGUGCGAAAGCAGGUCAUAGUGAUCCGGUGGUUCUGAAUGGAAGGGCCAUCGCUCAACGGAUAAAAGGUACUCCGGGGAUAACAGGCUGAUACCGCCCAAGAGUUCAUAUCGACGGCGGUGUUUGGCACCUCGAUGUCGGCUCAUCACAUCCUGGGGCUGAAGUAGGUCCCAAGGGUACGGCUGUUCGCCGUUUAAAGUGGUACGCGAGCUGGGUUUAGAACGUCGUGAGACAGUUCGGUCCCUAUCUGCCGUGGGCGCUGGAAGAUUGAGAGGGGUUGCUCCUAGUACGAGAGGACCGGAGUGAACGCACCGCUGGUGUUCGGGUUGUCAUGCCAAUGGCAUUGCCCGGUAGCUAAGUGCGGAAAAGAUAAGCGCUGAAAGCAUCUAAGCGCGAAACUUGCCUCGAGAUGAAUCUUCCCUGACUCCUUGA